Molecule: long non-coding RNA, 1716 nt
Organism: Numida meleagris (helmeted guineafowl)
Lineage: Eukaryota; Metazoa; Chordata; Aves; Galliformes; Numididae
Source: Ensembl
AUGUUUUUCUUUGUGAAGAAAAGUGAGACACAGGAGAUUCUGGUGUUUGCCAUAACGUUCAUACCAGCAGUGAAGCACAGAUCUCCAGGCUGUGUUUGCAGUGUGGAAAACGUUUGCCUACAGACUCUGUAUCCUUCUACCAGUGCGUGUUCCUCAGAUAAUCUGCUUGAUACAGAAAUUUCUUCAACCCUCACAGGCAAAAAUCCAUCUGAAGUCAGCAGGAUCUUCUAAGGAAGGACAGCAGUGAAGUCCAGAGCUACAAAUGAGUCAUAGAAUCAUAGAAAGUUUGAGUUGGAAGGGAUCUUAAAGAUCAUCUAGUUCCAACCCUCUGCUAUAGGCAGGGACACCUCCCUCUAGAUCAGGUCACUCAAAGCCCCAUCCAGCCUGGCUUUCAAUGCUUCCAUUGGUGGGGGGCAUUCUGGGCAACCUGUUCCAGUGUCUCACGACCCUCACAGUAAAGAAUUUCUUCCUAAUAUCUAGUCUAAAUCUACCCUCUUCCAGUUUAAAGCCAUUUUGCCUUGUCCUGUCACUACAUGCCCUUAUAAAAAGUCCCUCCCCAGGUUUCCUGUACCCCUUCACGUACUGGAAAUAGACUUAAAUGAUCUCUUGUACUUCCCAAAGCUCCAAAAAAAAAAGUAAAAUUUGGAAUGAGAGUUAUUCCUAGAAAAGUAAAAAGGUGAGUUUUAGAAAGUACCUGUUCUCUUAGAGUAUUAUUGAGGCACAAACACAAGUACAAAAUGCUACAGAUAAUUUGGGGUUAACAAAAGCCAUGAGCCUUACAGGGAAGGAGAUGGAGCUCUCUGAAUGUCCAUCCAGUUACUUCCCUUCUGGCAUAGUCUAGGGGAACAGAUUUGAUGAUAUCUAAUGUUAUCUGUGUCCCAUUACGACUGGUAAAGCUCAUUAAGUGGAUGCUGUGCGAGGCCUUAGGACUGUUUUUCAGUCAGAGAGAUGAAGACUCCUACAGAGACACUCUGGCUGACUUCCCAGGAGCAACUCUGCAGCGUAGCUGAUCUCCCCCAAUACUGGCCUCUACAUUUUUCCAGCAUUUUCUCUUCCCUUCCUUUCCACUGCCUACUCUUCUCGGUUUGGGUUCUGUUAUCUCUAUUAUGUGCUCUCUCACUUUCUCUGCCCAGGGAAUUUCAUCCAUCCCUCUCUCUCCUUUCCUCAUAGCAGCCCCAGAUGAGUGAGGACCUCUUCAAAAACUGGGUCCAUCUGGCACAGGUCUCCCUUCCCGAUGCGGGAAGGAUCUGCCGCUCCAUAUAUGAGUGCUUCCCAAGGUGGUUUACCCCAGGAUACAGAUGGAGGAGCAGCUGCAGGAGGAUUCUGGAGCACACAGCUCUCAUAACUCACCACAUCACAGAAGGAACUUUUAAGAAAAUUGUGGGUCCUAAGGCAAUUUUGUGAGCCCACGGCCCCACCUGCUAAGGAGCUUUAUGGCAGCAGAUGGGGCAUUAUGAUUCCCAUAAGGUUGCAGGGGACCUUCAGAAAUGGGUUUCAAGGCUCUUGUCAUUUUCCUAAAUUACUGAAAAUCCCCAUUCUGCGGCUUGGGGACUAGAUGUAAUUCAACCAGUUUUAAAGUCCUAUGUGUUACCCUGACACCUCCAUUGACCCUGGCAUAGGGAAGAAUGUUUUGGAACUUUUGUUCCUGUUUCGAAGUAUUUGAUCAAUUAAUUAUCUAACAAUAAACAAACACACCUUCACUUGAGCUGAAAGAGU